RNAcentral lists this transfer RNA (75 nucleotides) under Gluconobacter oxydans. RNAcentral describes it as "tRNA-Ala". It matches the Rfam family "tRNA". From Rfam's summary of the family: Transfer RNA (tRNA) molecules are approximately 80 nucleotides in length. Their secondary structure includes four short double-helical elements and three loops (D, anti-codon, and T loops). The record is from RNAcentral. RNAcentral also lists the same sequence under 2 other names. Lineage: Bacteria; Pseudomonadati; Pseudomonadota; Alphaproteobacteria; Acetobacterales; Acetobacteraceae.
GGGCCCGUAGCUCAGUGGGAGAGCGGCUGCCCUGCAAGCAGCGGGUCGGGGGUUCGAAUCCGCCCGGGUCCACCA